GGGGCUGACUGGUUUCGACGCUGGGACCGUUGGCUUGUCGUGCGACCCGAGUUGCUCAGACUCGAUAAACGGGGCAAAAAAACAGGUGCCAAGACUGACACCGGUGGCUACGCUCUCGCGGCCUAAGAACCGCUAGGGAAAGCCCAAAUCGCGACCCGAGAGGGCACGCCGAGGACGACCCUUUGCCUUGGGAACAGAAUGAGGGUUGACAGCCGGGAAAGACCGCUGACACGUAGGGAAAGACCGACUGACCUCACGGAACAGACGUGACGAGUAGCACGUAACCCGGUACGAGGGCAGCGUUAGGCCCGAAUCACGGGAACGGUCGUAGCACGGGAAGUCUGCACCGAGCGGACGAGGGUUCGAUUCCCUCCAGCUCCACUC
This 384-nucleotide transfer-messenger RNA is filed under the name Actinomycetota bacterium. It matches the Rfam family "transfer-messenger RNA". From Rfam's summary of the family: Bacterial tmRNA, also known as 10Sa RNA or SsrA, is named for its dual tRNA and mRNA-like properties. The record is from RNAcentral. Lineage: Bacteria; Bacillati; Actinomycetota.